AAGAUGACGAUAGAAUUUUCUAUAAUCGAUUAACGAAGCUUUUUGAUGAGAGCAGACAAGGAGAACCCCAAGAUGAGAGUGGCCGGGAGGAGACUCUGAAUUCUGAAGCACCUGGGAGUUCCAAUAAGAGUCACGAAAUCCACAAAGAAGCCAGCGAAGCCACCACUGCUCACCUUGAGGAGUUCCAAAGAUCUCAGAAAACUAUAAUUCUGCUUGGAAGUUCUCCAUUAGAACAGGAAAUUAGAUCUACUUCAUUGCAUUGUAUGGAGGAUGAGAUGAGUCAUCCAUGGAUACUCUUGCUCAAAGUAACUGCUGUAAUCAGAAGCAGGAGGUACUAUAGAGAGCAAAGAUUCUAAAACCCAUUCUCAGGAUUUGAAAUUCGAAGGGGAAGGCCUCAACGAAUACAUUCCUAUGUCACUUUUAAAGACUGGUAAAACAUUUGAGAAAACUCCAAGUCAACCAUUCAUUGCAGACCUAAAUAUUUGUAAAAAGGACAGUGCAGCCCAGCUUGGUACCCUCACAGAAGUAACUAAUGACUCAAAGGGAGCAGCAGGACCCCGCUGGAAGAGAGAUAAAGAUUUUUUAUGGCUUGCUGACUUGAAACAACCACGAGAACCAGUGAAGAGAUGGCUAAGCGGCCAUGCAUAGUAAUUCCACUGUUCCUGCGUAAUUCAAGAACCCCACCUUUUGUGGAAAAUGAGCAGUCUCAACCACCUCAGCCUCUGCAAAUCCAGAUCAGAUGCCUGAGGGGCCUUAAAGACAAGGCUCCUCCAGGCUCUUAUGUCCUCAAAGUGUCCAAGUGUCCCUGCUUGGUCGACUGGGAGGCUGUGUCUUGCAGUGGUGGCAAACGGAGCAACUAAAGACCAGAAAACACUCCGUCAGGCACAAUGGAAACUUUUAUGAUGUGGGGGUGUAUUUCCACGAAAACCUUUAUGUGGUGCUCCCUCAAAGGAAAAAUGUGAGCCCUGGCAUGGUUUCUUGUUUGAACUCUUUCUUCUUCGUGGAACAUACACUUGCCUGGACCGGGCUGUGGGCUGAGCAGUGUUCCCUUUGUGUAAUAACAACUUUGAUACAGUGGAGGGAAAAUUUAAGUGUCCCCUUCUAUGAGGACAUUAUGACCAGAAACUCAGUAACUUUAGGAAAAUUGAAGAUUUGAUUUGCCUGGACUUGGACCACUGGCUGUGCAAUCUCUAUUUUCAG
Molecule: long non-coding RNA, 1200 nt
Organism: Homo sapiens (human)
Lineage: Eukaryota; Metazoa; Chordata; Mammalia; Primates; Hominidae
Source: Ensembl